UCAACUAAGUAGCACUCACUAGGCAAGGGACAUCGCCAAAGCCCUUAGGGAAUUAAGAGAGGUUGGGGACAGGUAUUUGUAAGGGUUAGUGUGGGCCCCUUCUGAGGGUCCUAAAAUCACUGAGAGCUGUGUUAAGUGGGGGGGCCUGAAGAUAAGUUGGUAAGCAGCUAGCAGAGAGAUGUGGUGAGCAGAGUGGAUAGCAGGGUGGCUGGCAGAGAGAUACAGCUAGCAGUGAAGAUUACAGCAGAAAUCGGCCAUCAACUCAAGCAGCAGAGCAUGUAAGAUGCCUCCCAUACGUCCCCCCACUUCCACCCAGGCUGGGAGAUAAAUGUUGCAGAGAAACUUCUGAACUCUGAGGGCUGCACUGAGCAAGGAGAGCCCUGCUCAAUGCUGAAGAGAAAAUGGAAUGACUAUUGCUGUGGGGGGAAUCUCACAUGAAAUCCUCAGGGUAAUGGUUUCAAGGGAGCUCAGAUCAGAGGACACUAUCAGCAAUUCAUCCCAAACGUUGCUACCAUUGCCAUCCCUUGGGUCGACUUACUAAAGGAUUCAGCACCCAAAAAACUCUGUUGAACAAAAAGCUGUGAGGAGGCAUUGAAAGACUGAAUGAACCAGGUAUAUAGAAUUGAUGCAGUUUGGGAAAAAAUAAUCUCAGUGAAGACAGGCACAAACAAAGCAGAUUGGAGAAACACAACCAAGGAAGUCAGACAGAAGAGUGAUCCUGAACAGGGACCACAGAGCAGGAAAGCCCCACAUGCGGAGCCUUCUCUAACCACCAUUGCCUUUGAGAACUCCAAAGUCAGGUAGGGCCUUGCACCUUUGGACUCUUUUGGUUGUACUAUACUGUACUUAUGGACUAUAAGGACUAUGCCCCAAACUGAAGGAAUCUAUUGGUAAGAAGUAGCCCAGGGAAGCAACUUAGACUGACUUCAGGGAGGAUCCUGCUGGUGUUGCUUCCAACAGGGCCGUGAGCUGGGACCAGGUGGAGAUGGAAGGCCCAGGUCCCCCUACCAAUCCCCUUAAGGGCCUAGACCCAGAUGUAGGUGGAAAGCCAAAAAGAUGCCUAGAUUGAGGUCAAGAACAGGUGCUUCUACUGCCUGGACAUUGGGGCUAGAAGUUGACAAGGGGCUAGAAGUUGUUGGAUGUGCUAAUCACUAGGCUGCCCAUCCCACUGAGCUCCAUAUCGCACUCCCCUACACCUCAACUGCCACCAGAAAGCGGUAAGCUGUUACAGUUGCACCUAAAGAAGAGGACUUUGUGGACCCCUGAGAGCAAAACAGGGUACCCCUCAUACAAGGGGUGACAGGAGAGGUCACAUACGGAGGGCUGUGGCCCAGGAAGGGCAAAGGAGUUUCAUUGCCUCCUGAACCAAGGGGUGAUGGUUGAGAUUUGUGAUAUUUGCAUUUGGAUUUUCAUUUACCUAAGAAAGUGAAAUUGUUUUAGUUUGGCCAAAGAGACAAACUAUUCUAUCAAGAAGAGGGAAACUGAGGCAGAUAGACCAAGUAAGCCAUGGUUACAAGCUCAUAUAAGAACUUGCUUGCUCAUCUGUGUGUCCCUGCAUAAAAGGACUUAGAAGAAGAGCAGGCUACUGUGAUUUCCAUGCUCUCCCUCUGUUCCAUCUCUUUCCUUUGUGAAAUUUAUCUUCUCCAUUUCUCCUCUACUCUUUCAUUCAUUCUUGCAUCCCAGUUAUCCUUGGAGGAAAAGGAACAAUAAUUAAAGACAGAAGGGGAACAGGAGGACUGAUGCUAGGACUCAAUGCCAUAAUGUUAAUUAACCUUACGGCCUUUGCCAUAGAAUGAGAAAAGAAUAAUACCUAGCUCUUAGCACUUUUCAUCAGUAGAUCUCAAACCAUUUCACAAUCUUUAAUGUCUUUAUCCAGAAACACCUCUGUGAGGAAGGGAAAUAUUACAUUUUACAAAUGGGGAACUGCAUGAUUAUAAUGUUGCUUAGAAUGCACAGAUUGUCUCUAACACUGAAUUCUCUAAAAUCCUUUCUUGAGGGGCAAACCCCACUAGACAUACACAAUGUACCUUUUCCUAACUGCAAUUGCUUUUUGAAAGCAAAAGUUUCAUUCUUGCCUGACAUACUUGGAGGGGGAAACAGGGAAAUGAGUACGAACAAUUAUGAUGAAUAGUUUCUCAAAAAUUACCUGUUUUCAGUUUGGAGCCUUAACAGUUAUCUUUGCUGAGUCAGCUGACCAAAUGACACUGACAGACAUUGCCAUGAUGAAUAUUUCUCCCCAUGUUCCAUGCUCCCUGUUUUGGUACAGUCAGAAGACAGUCAGCUAAAUCUGGAUUUUAACUUUUUUAAAUAUUGAUCUUGACUUGUACCCUGCCCUGUGAAGUAAACAUGUUAUUAUAAGGGCUGGCAGGGAAAGAUAAUUUACUGUGCAAUCUGGUCACGAACUUGGAAGAAUGGAUAACUGAGAAAUACACCAUGCUGAUAGCUGAACAUUGGAGAAAAGAGUAAACUUAAAAUAAGCUUUCUAUGUGUGCUAAAUAUCCAUUCUGAUAUCACCUGUCAGGAGAUGCUGGGCAUUAUAUGCUUGUAAUGGACUUCCAGUUAUCACAGGCAGAGUUACCCAUCGGAUAUGUGACAGAGGGAGCACUGAGUGCUGAAGAUACUUACGUACAGGGCAUUCACUGAAAUUUGAGACCCUGCAUUGUCGGAUGAAGUAAGGAAGUCUAAGUGAAAAUAAUUAUCUAAACUGGAAUUUGACUAGGACUUUAGAGUGUAAUAGAAUCUGUAAUGACCUCAGGUACUUAGAACCUUGUUUUUAUAUCUCAGUUAAAAGCAGCAUCUCCACAGCUCUGUGUCGUUUACCAUCAUCAACGACUUAGAUAUUGGCAUAGAAAGUAUGCUUAUUAAGUUUAGUAUCAUCUGCAAACUGGGAGGAAUUGCAACUGCUUUGGAGGACAGGGUCAAAAUUCAAAAUGAUCU
This is a long non-coding RNA of Mauremys mutica (yellowpond turtle), 2937 nucleotides long. RefSeq lists it as uncharacterized. The record is from RefSeq and is a predicted model, not a curated record. The transcript has 4 exons. NCBI's taxonomy places the organism in Eukaryota, Metazoa, Chordata, Testudines, Geoemydidae.